CCCAAACCCAGAACGCUGACCCCGUUGGGCCCUCCCCACACCAGGCCCCCCGGGUUCCCGAGUUUCUCGCACCUUGUGGGCCCCGCGGAUGGCGGUGAUGCAGGCGGGGUCCACGAGGGGCUUGGGGCGCCGGGCCGACUCCUCGAGCAGCCCCUGCCACUGGCGGGGCAGCCCCGUGAAGCGCUGCUCCGAGGGGUCGUAGCCCGUGUGCACCCGGUGCUCGAAGUUGGACGGCGCCGAGAUCUCCACGCGCUUCUUCUUCUUGGAGAACAUGGCCCGGGCUGUGCUCCUGGAUUGGGGAAAAAAAUUCGGGUUUAGGGAGUGGGAAAUGGGGCUGGCAGCAGGAAUCCAGCUCUGGGAAUGGCCCGGGCUGUGCUCCUGGGAUGGGGAGAAAAUUCGGGUUUAGGGGGUGGGAAAUGGGGGUGGCAGCAGGAAUGGUGUUAGACCCCAAAAUCCAGCCCUGGGAACAAAAUCCAGCCCUGGGAAUGGGAAUGGUCCCCGAAAUCCAGCCCUGGAAAUGGUCCCCAAAAUCCAUCCCUGGGAAUGGUCCCCAAAAUCCAGCCCUGGGAAUGGUCCCCAAAAUCCAGCCCUGGGAACGGGAUCAGCCCCGAAAAUCCCGCUGCUGGAAUGGUUUUUAUCCAUCCACCAACCACUUCUAUCCAAAAUCCCCCCCUUUUAUCCAAUCGCUUCCCAUUUCUCCCCCAAAUCCAAGCUUGGAAGCACCAUAAAUUCCCACUUGGAAAUGGGAUUAAUCCAUUAACCCAACCUGAACCAACAAAGAGAUUUAAAGCACCUGAAAAAGCCACAAAAAAUCUGCUUUUUUUGGGAUCCCAGUGCCAGGAUCAGCGCUCUGGGGCACCAUGUGAGGGUUUGAUUUCAUUCCCUGUUUUUCCAUGUUUUUCCUGCACUUUCCAGGCCAAGAACGAGCUCAGCUGGGAGGGUUUUGGGCCUGUGAUCCCCGUGGGGGCACGAAUCCCACUGGGAAUGGCCCCAAAAUCCCACGGAUCCUGGGCAGGUCUGUUUUUCCCACUUUCACUGCUUUUCCUGGUGCCGAUUUCCCCGUUUCCUCCCAGUUUUUCCCAUUUUCCAGGCUCCAGAAUCCUGCUGCUUCCAAGGUUUUGUCACUGUUUUUUCCCAAUCUUUGAGGAUUUCUCCUUAAAACAGUGAUCCACCACAGAGUUUUCCUUCUCCUCCUCCUCCACUUCGACCCCAGCCAAAAGCUGUCAGAAUUCUGUGUUUUCUCUGUUUUCCCUGCUCAUCCCAGGCUGAUCCCUCCUUCCACCUUCCUGGGAAUCCUCUGGGGUUUGCCAAAAUCUCAUUUUCUGACGGAAAACUCUCCUGGUUUGGGGAAAUUGCAGCUGAGCUCGGGGUGGGAGGAUUAAAAUCUGCUGCCAGAAAAUUAAAAUUUGGGUUUUUCUCCAUGGGAAACAUCCGAGGGUGAACCAGCUCAGCCGGGAUGAGGUGCAGCACCCGUCACCUCUGGACACCAAAUCCACGGGAUUUCACCCCAAAACCUCUCUUUUUUUCCAGAUGGUUGUGGAAAUGUGGCGGCGCUUGGCAGGGGCAGAGGGGUCCUGAGGAAUUCCAGAGGGUGGGAUGGGGCCGGGAGGGGGUGAAGUUGUUCCUCAGCCAUUCCCAGGCCGCAUUCCUGGGAUCCCAGCGGCGCUUAAUUAGUCACCAAUUAACGAGGAACUGAACCUGCACCGGGCGGGAAUAACCUCCUGUUUUCCUUAAAAUUCCCAACAAAAUCCCACAAACUCCCCCUAUAAAUCAGCGGCAGUCAGGCUGUGUCCUGGUGGGAAUUGUACUCCCCACAAAGGGGUCAGAAUUCCUGGGAAAGCCGGGCUGGGAAGGGGCUGGAAUCCUGGGAAGGGGCUGAAAUCCUGGAAUUCCCACAAUUUGUCACAAUUCCCGGGAAAGCCAGGCCAGGAAUUCAGGAAUUCCCAGCGAGGGGUCAGAAUUGCAGGGAAAGCCAGGCCGGGGCCGGGGCGGGUUGGACUGGCCGGGCUGGAUCUGCAGGAGGAGGAGGAGGAGGAGGAGCAGCGCCGGCCUUUGCUCCGGAGGAAUCACGGAAUUCCAGGAAUCCGGAGCCUCCGAAGCUCAGGGGAACGGGGAAAAAAAAAUAAAUUAAAAAAAAAAAAUCCGGGAAGGGAACCA
Molecule: long non-coding RNA, 2157 nt
Filed under: Junco hyemalis (dark-eyed junco)
Lineage: Eukaryota; Metazoa; Chordata; Aves; Passeriformes; Passerellidae
Description: lncRNA (ENSJHYG00000014828.1)
Source: RNAcentral